AUGCUCGCUUCGGCAGCACAUAUACUAAAACUGGAACAAUACAGAGAAGAUUAGCAUGGCCCCUGUGCAAGGAUGACACACAAAUUAGUGGAGGUGAUGGAAUUACA
This 107-nucleotide small nuclear RNA is filed under the name Cervus hanglu yarkandensis (Yarkand deer). The record is from RNAcentral. Lineage: Eukaryota; Metazoa; Chordata; Mammalia; Artiodactyla; Cervidae.